RNAcentral lists this ribosomal RNA (497 nucleotides) under uncultured bacterium. Its description in RNAcentral is "partial 16S ribosomal RNA". It matches the Rfam family "Bacterial small subunit ribosomal RNA", at positions 28 to 507 of the family's 1533-position model. The record is from RNAcentral.
GAUGAACGCUGGCGGCGUGCCUAAUACAUGCAGGUCGAGCGAACGGACGAGAAGCUUGCUUCUCUGAUGUUAGCGGCGGACGGGUGAGUAACACGUGGAUAACCUACCUAUAAGACUGGGAUAACUUCGGGAAACCGGAGCUAAUACCGGAUAAUAUUUUGAACCGCAUGGUUCAAAAGUGAAAGACGGUCUUGCUGUCACUUAUAGAUGGAUCCGCGCUGCAUUAGCUAGUUGGUAAGGUAACGGCUUACCAAGGCAACUAUGCAUAGCCGACCUGAUAGGGUGAUCGGCCACACUGGAACUGAGACACGGUCCAGACUCCUACGGGAGGCAGCAGUAGGGAAUCUUCCGCAAUGGGCGAAAGCCUAACGGAGCAACGCCGCGUGAGUGAUGAAGGUCUUCGGAUCGUAAAACUCUGUUAGUAGGGAAGAACAUAUGUGUAAGUAACUGUGCACAUCUUGACGGUACCUAAUCAGAAAGCCACGGCUAACUACGUG